CCCUUAGAUGUUCUGGGCCGCACACGCGCUACACUGAAGGAGGCAGCGUGUACUCCUGGAUCGAAAGAUUUGGGUAACCCGCGAAUCUCCUUCGUGCUAGGGAUUGAGGUUUGCAAUUAUCCUUCAUGAACGAGGAAUUCCCAGUAAGUGCAAGUCAUAAGCUUGCGCUGACUACGUCCCUGCCCUUUGUACACUCCGCCCGUCGCUACUACCGAUUGAAUGAUUUAGUGAGGACUUCGGACUGGGACCGAUGCGGCUUUCGGGCUGCGUCGGUAUUCUGGAAAGAUGUCCAAACUGUAUCAUUUAGAGGAAGUAAAAGUCGUAACA
Molecule: ribosomal RNA, 327 nt
Filed under: uncultured eukaryote
Lineage: Eukaryota
Description: partial 18S ribosomal RNA
Rfam family: Eukaryotic small subunit ribosomal RNA
Source: RNAcentral